Molecule: small RNA, 81 nt
Filed under: Xenorhabdus nematophila AN6/1
Lineage: Bacteria; Pseudomonadati; Pseudomonadota; Gammaproteobacteria; Enterobacterales; Morganellaceae
Also listed under: 2 other names
Description: Alpha_RBS
Rfam family: Alpha operon ribosome binding site
About the family: The bacterial alpha operon ribosome binding site is surrounded by this complex pseudoknotted structure.
Source: RNAcentral
UGACAGCAACAUUGUUUGAGUAUCCUGAAAACGGGCUUUUCAGAAUAAUGUUGCAGUGAAUAAAUAUUGUAGGAGUGCAUA